UGGGGAAUAUUGGACAAUGGGCGCAAGCCUGAUCCAGCCAUGCCGCGUGAGUGAUGAAGGCCCUAGGGUUGUAAAGCUCUUUCACCGGUGAAGAUAAUGACGGUAACCGGAGAAGAAGCCCCGGCUAACUUCGUGCCAGCAGCCGCGGUAAUACGAAGGGGGCUAGCGUUGUUCGGAUUUACUGGGCGUAAAGCGCACGUAGGCGGACUUUUAAGUCAGGGGUGAAAUCCCGGGGCUAAACCCCGGAACUGCCUUUGAUACUGGAAGUCUUGAGUAUGGUAGAGGUGAGUGGAAUUCCGAGUGUAGAGGUGAAAUUCGUAGAUAUUCGGAGGAACACCAGUGGCGAAGGCGGCUCACUGGACCAUUACUGACGCUGAGGUGCGAAAGCGUGGGGAGCAAACAGG
This 404-nucleotide ribosomal RNA is filed under the name Actinomycetes bacterium. RNAcentral describes it as "Actinobacteria bacterium partial 16S ribosomal RNA". It matches the Rfam family "Bacterial small subunit ribosomal RNA", at positions 355 to 776 of the family's 1533-position model. The record is from RNAcentral. Lineage: Bacteria; Bacillati; Actinomycetota; Actinomycetes.